UACGUAGGGGGCGAGCGUUAUCCGGAAUUAUUGGGCGUAAAGAGCUCGUAGGCGGUUUGUCGCGUCUGCCGUGAAAGUCCGGGGCUCAACUCCGGAUCUGCGGUGGGUACGGGCAGACUAGAGUGAUGUAGGGGAGACUGGAAUUCCUGGUGUAGCGGUGAAAUGCGCAGAUAUCAGGAGGAACACCGAUGGCGAAGGCAGGUCUCUGGGCAUUAACUGACGCUGAGGAGCGAAAGCAUGGGGAGCGAACAGG
This 253-nucleotide ribosomal RNA is filed under the name uncultured bacterium. Its description in RNAcentral is "partial 16S ribosomal RNA". It matches the Rfam family "Bacterial small subunit ribosomal RNA", at positions 524 to 776 of the family's 1533-position model. The record is from RNAcentral.